AUUGAACGCUGGCGGAAUGCUUUACACAUGCAAGUCGAACGGCAGCGGGCCUUCGGGUGCCGGCGAGUGGCGAACGGGUGAGUAAUGCAUCGGAACGUGCCAUUGAGUGGGGGAGUAACGUAGCGAAGUUACGCUAAUACCGCAUAUUCUGUGAGCAGGAAAGCAGGGGACCGCAAGGCCUUGCGCUCUUUGAGCGGCCGAUGUCAGAUUAGCUAGUUGGUGAGGUAAAGGCUUACCAAGGCGACGAUCUGUAGCGGGUCUGAGAGGAUGAUCCGCCACACUGGAACUGAGACACGGUCCAGACUCCUACGGGAGGCAGCAGUGGGGGAAUUUUUGGACAAUGGGCGCAAGCCUGAUCCAGCCAUGCCGCGUGAGUGAAGAA
RNAcentral lists this ribosomal RNA (382 nucleotides) under uncultured bacterium. RNAcentral's name for it is "bacterial SSU rRNA". It matches the Rfam family "Bacterial small subunit ribosomal RNA", at positions 30 to 412 of the family's 1533-position model. The record is from RNAcentral.